RNAcentral lists this ribosomal RNA (323 nucleotides) under uncultured bacterium. RNAcentral describes it as "bacterial SSU rRNA". It matches the Rfam family "Bacterial small subunit ribosomal RNA", at positions 29 to 334 of the family's 1533-position model. The record is from RNAcentral.
AAUGAACGCUGGCGGCGUGCCUAACACAUGCAAGUCGAACGAGAGCGUGGGAGCUUGCUCCCACAAUCUAGUGGCAGACGGGUGAGUAACGCGUGGGCAACCUACCUUUGAGUGGGGGAUACCCAGCCGAAAGGCUGGUUAAUACCGCAUAACAUCAACGUGUCCUCGGGCGUGUUGAUCAAAGCCUGGGAUCUUCGGACCAGGCGCUUGUUGAGGGGCUCGCGUGGGAUUAGUUAGUUGGUGGGGUAAUGGCCUACCAAGACAUCGAUCUCUAGCCGGCCUGAGAGGGUGAUCGGCCACACUGGAACUGAGACACGGUCCAG